UACGUAGGGUGCAAGCGUUGUCCGGAAUUAUUGGGCGUAAAGAGCUCGUAGGCGGUCUGUCGCGUCGGCUGUGAAAUCCCGGAGCUCAACUCCGGGCCUGCAGUCGAUACGGGCAGACUGGAGUUCGGCAGGGGAGACUGGAAUUCCUGGUGUAGCGGUGAAAUGCGCAGAUAUCAGGAGGAACACCGAUGGCGAAGGCAGAUCUCUGGGCCGUAACUGACGCUGAGGAGCGAAAGCAUGGGGAGCGAACAGG
This 253-nucleotide ribosomal RNA is filed under the name uncultured bacterium. RNAcentral describes it as "partial 16S ribosomal RNA". It matches the Rfam family "Bacterial small subunit ribosomal RNA", at positions 524 to 776 of the family's 1533-position model. The record is from RNAcentral.